Molecule: ribosomal RNA, 468 nt
Filed under: uncultured bacterium
Lineage: Bacteria
Description: partial 16S ribosomal RNA
Rfam family: Bacterial small subunit ribosomal RNA
Source: RNAcentral
GACGAACGCUGGCGGCGUGCUUAACACAUGCAAGUCGAACGGAAAGGCCCUGCUUUUGUGGGGUGCUCGAGUGGCGAACGGGUGAGUAACACGUGAGUAACCUGCCCUUGACUUUGGGAUAACUUCAGGAAACUGGGGCUAAUACCGGAUAGGAGCUCCUGCUGCAUGGUGUGGGUUGGAAAUUUUCGGCGGUUGGGGAUGGACUCGCGGCUUAUCAGCUUGUUUGUGGGGUAUUGGCUUACCAAGGCUUUGACGGGUAGCCGGCCUGAGAGGGUGACCGGCAACAUUGGGGCUGAGAUACGGACCAGAAUCCAACGGGAGGCAGCAGUGGGGAAUAUUGCAAAAUGGGCGGAAGCCUGAUGCAGAAACGCAGCGUGCGGGAUGAAGGCCUUAGGGUUGUAAAAAGCUUUCGCCUGUGACGAAGCGUGAGUGACGGUAAUGGGUAAAGAAGCACCGGCUAACUACGUG